CUCACUUCUUCGGCUGUUUGACAACAUGACGCUUGAUGACAGUCACAACAACAUCACGCUAAACUGCAGAUUAUUUGCUUGUUAAAGCUCUAAAUGUCACUAAACCGCACAUAUUUCAGCUCAGCUGCAAACGAAACCAACACACUGUGGGAUAAAACGCUGGAAUCGAGUGUCAUGCGACUCACCUAGUAAGGGAUGUGCUGUGGAUUGUAAAGCAGCGCUCUGGGACGUGUGGACAGACAGUGACUGUAAUGAUGCUCAUCUGCUCGUGGACAGGUGAUGUAUCUCAUGUGUGAAUGUGUUCUAGUGC
This 310-nucleotide long non-coding RNA is filed under the name Sinocyclocheilus anshuiensis. RNAcentral describes it as "lncRNA (ENSSANG00000051027.1)". Lineage: Eukaryota; Metazoa; Chordata; Actinopteri; Cypriniformes; Cyprinidae. The record is from RNAcentral.